AAUUUUUCAAACUCUGUGUUAUAUUUAUACUACCGCUUUGAGGAUCGAAAAUUUUGCCGCUGCUUUGAAUUUAGGUUAAUCUGGAUGGUGGACCUCGUUGACUGCGAGAACUUCGAAAAUCCCUCUCUGCAUUAUCAUCGCAUCUUUUUGGACUCGCUCUUGGGACUCACGUUGAUUUUGCUGGCGACCACCGAAUUUCACCUACAGAAACCUUUUAGUUACUUUCUAUCAUCCAGAAUGGUUGCGUUGAAGGUUGUGAUUGUUGUGAUCAUGUUCCUGCUAAAUAUUUUUGCGAUUUCGGCCAAACCCUUGCAAAACUAUUUCGCAGGGCCACCCACUCGCGAACCCUGGCAUCAGUGCCCAUAUUGCCGUUAAAAUGCAGCAGUUCCCUUAAGUUUCCACGCCGACGGAGCAAAUUGCUGCAGAUAAAAUUCAUGAGUUGUUUAUAAACUUUAUUGAAUAACAAACAAUUUAUAAGACAAUACGAAAAAGGCAAUAAACAAUGUUACAGUUAAAAAUUA
Molecule: long non-coding RNA, 521 nt
Organism: Drosophila biarmipes
Lineage: Eukaryota; Metazoa; Arthropoda; Insecta; Diptera; Drosophilidae
Exons: 2
Source: RefSeq, a predicted model, not a curated record